GUCCACGCCUUAAACGAUGUAUGCUUGAUAUCGGAGAAAUUCGGUGUCGUAGGUAACCUGGUAAGCAUACCACCUGGGAAGUACGAUCGCAAGGUUGAAACUCAAAGGAAUUGACGGGGCCCGCACAAGCGGUGGAUCAUGUGGUUUAAUUCGAUGCAACGCGAAAAACCUUACCUGGGCUUGAAGUACAAGUAGUAAAGAGAUGAAAGUCAAAUGAAUCGUAAAGCCGAUUGCUUGUAGAGGUGCUGCAUGGCUGUCGU
RNAcentral lists this ribosomal RNA (260 nucleotides) under uncultured bacterium. Its description in RNAcentral is "partial 16S ribosomal RNA". It matches the Rfam family "Bacterial small subunit ribosomal RNA", at positions 793 to 1055 of the family's 1533-position model. The record is from RNAcentral.